Small nucleolar RNA from Eupeodes corollae, 138 nucleotides. RefSeq annotates it as small nucleolar RNA psi18S-841/snoR66. Lineage: Eukaryota; Metazoa; Arthropoda; Insecta; Diptera; Syrphidae. The transcript has a single exon. The record is from RefSeq and is a predicted model, not a curated record.
AGCAAGGGCACUCUGUGUUACAAGAAGAUUUUAGUAUUGUAAAACAAUUUGUAACCUUGCAAGAAAAAAUAUCACACAUGUUGGAUUUGUCUCCUUUUUCUCAAGGAAUCGAAUUGAAUAUACCUAGUGAAACAUUUU